GCGUCCGUAGCUCAGUUGGAUAGAGUGUCAGUUUCCGAAGCUGAAGGUCCCUGGUUCGAUCCCAGGCGGGCGCG
Molecule: transfer RNA, 74 nt
Filed under: Chitinimonas taiwanensis DSM 18899
Lineage: Bacteria; Pseudomonadati; Pseudomonadota; Betaproteobacteria; Neisseriales; Chitinibacteraceae
Also listed under: 1 other name
Rfam family: tRNA
About the family: Transfer RNA (tRNA) molecules are approximately 80 nucleotides in length. Their secondary structure includes four short double-helical elements and three loops (D, anti-codon, and T loops). Further hydrogen bonds mediate the characteristic L-shaped molecular structure. tRNAs have two regions of fundamental functional importance: the anti-codon, which is responsible for specific mRNA codon recognition, and the 3' end, to which the tRNAs corresponding amino acid is attached (by aminoacyl-tRNA synthetases). tRNAs cope with the degeneracy of the genetic code in two manners: having more than one tRNA (with a specific anti-codon) for a particular amino acid; and 'wobble' base-pairing, i.e. permitting non-standard base-pairing at the 3rd anti-codon position.
Source: Rfam by way of RNAcentral